Chinchilla lanigera (long-tailed chinchilla) is the source of this 1641-nucleotide long non-coding RNA. RefSeq lists it as uncharacterized. Lineage: Eukaryota; Metazoa; Chordata; Mammalia; Rodentia; Chinchillidae. The record is from RefSeq and is a predicted model, not a curated record. The transcript is spliced from 5 exons.
CAUUAGGAGAAUGAUGUUUAUGCAUUUGAUUUAAGACGUACUGUGUUGGGUUCAAAGGGCUUUUAAGAUUUCCAGGUAGAAACCCUGAGUGAUGGUUAUGACUAUUGGGCCUACGGGCCUGAGGACUGGUCAUCCAACUUUUUCUUCUUUUUCCUGUGUAAUUCAUACUACAUUCUUUGAAACAACUUUCAAUAGAACUGAAGAGCUACUUUUUGUCUCUCUCAACUGCCAUUAUCUUCACUCAAGAACUGACCAGCACUAAGACGAUAUGCCUUUGGCCAUGAGUUGUUGGUGACAAUCAAAGAAGGGAAACACAUGUUUCUGGCAGGACACCUGCAAGACACAGAGAAGACCACAGAGCAACCUCUGUGACAAUACAUAGCCUAAUUCGGCAGUGAAUCCAUCAAGAGUGUGGCUUUUUUCUGUUGAGGAACUCAGAGUUCAGGAGCAGUGAAACUCAAGACAUCUCGAAUGAGGAAAAUGUAAAUUGCAGAAAGCUCCAUGCACUGCAGAUUCAAAUGUUACAUGAAGGGGACCAGAAAGGCCAGAAACAAUUCGUGUGAUUUGGCUGGCUGUAAAGAAAAACUCAGCAUUUGGUGAAAGGUGGGGUCCCCCAUGUGAGUGCAGGGGAAGCGGCUCUUCUCCUUCCUGGAGGAGCUGAGUGGAUUCUUGCUGAGACCAGCCGUCCAUCAACUCGGCCUCUUCCAGCUUCCUCUGCAGAAUGGCUCCCUGGAGCCCCCCGUGAGACACUCCAGGAACCAGCUGCCUGUCAGCCACCUUAUUAAACUGGUUUCCAGAUGUCUCCACCUCAGAUUGAGGAAGCAGGAAGAGAGUGAAGGGUGGGAGUUUGUCUCUUAAAUGAAGUCAGCUGGGUCCAUAAUAAAUAAUGCUUUGUACUGAUGAGGCAGGUGCGUGGAAGAUGGUAUGAUACAGAAGACAUCCUCAGCGAGGCCAUGUGUGUGUGAGAGAGAGGCUGACAGACCAGACCAUUUGGGGCGAGAGAGGAGAGCCAGUUGGACAGUUAGAGGUGGAGUUGUGGUAGGGAAGAUCUGUAAUUGUGAAUGUUUGAGAAAAACAGGAAAGUGAAAGAAAAGAAGGCUGAAAAGGAGAGAUGGGGACAGAGGGCCAAACAGAAUUGUUGUGCUUAAAAUUUUCCAUUGUGCUGGUCUGCCAGGGUCUGUCUCAUUCACAACAGCUAAUAAAAUCCACAGCAAACCCUGGGCCUUGCGGUAGACCAAGCCUGGUACUUUACAGACAGCAGCUCUUCUACUCUUUGUAACUACCUUAGGAGGGAGCUACUGCGAUUAUACCACUUACGGACAAGGAAAGCGAGGGUCAAACAUUAUAGAGAACUUGCUCAAGGUUGCUCCAUGGGACUAGGGAAUGUGGCACCCACGUGUGUACUCUUAGUCAUUCCAUUCUCCUUCCUGGUGAAAUUUGGAGAAACAAUCUUCCCAGGUAGAGAUCUCUUCACUGCCGAUUGGCAUAUACCUGUGAGUCUUACCUAAAUGUGAGUUCAGGCUGAGAGACAGAGGAAGAAAUAGGAAUGCAUCCUUUCUUCCAAGCAAUUGUUUUGAGCAGUAUCACACCUAGCCAGUUGGAUGAACUUAUUUUUCUCUAGCUCAUGACUGAAUGGACUGC